CGACCCUCGGGAGUUAUCCUCGCAAGAGAAGUUCUCCCGGCCUUGGGCCAGCGCGUUGCGCGGCCCGCAGACCAGCGGCGGCAGUACCGGCGAUGUCCUCUGUGCAGUAGAUUUAUAGAAAACUCGCAUUGGUCCCCGGUAAGGCUUGCCUUGCAACCAACUUCUUUA
RNAcentral lists this unclassified non-coding RNA (168 nucleotides) under Melanospora sp. RNAcentral's name for it is "partial internal transcribed spacer 2". The record is from RNAcentral. Lineage: Eukaryota; Fungi; Ascomycota; Sordariomycetes; Coronophorales; Ceratostomataceae.